GGGGGAGCAGCACCCGAGGCAGGGGGGGCAGCGAUGCCAGGACGCCUCCGGUGCUCGCUGGGGCUGCGGGGACAUCCAGCCCUUUGGCAGCACGGCUCCGGGCGCAGAGGAAGGAGGACGGCCGGGAGCAGGACACAGAACCUCCGGCAUCGAGGCCGAGGCCAGAUAGCGCACGUGAUGCCAACUGGCACCGGCUGGGCAUGAGGCGGGUCGCAUGAUGCCAGCCCUGGCACACAAACAGCUCGUCUGCCACGGCCCCCCCGGCCCAAGGAGGCAGAGACCCCCCGAGGAGCCGCAGAGACCCCCCCAGAGCGCCGAAGGCAGACGGAGACGUGCGAAGCCCCACAAAAAACUCCUGCCCCUGAAGCUAAAGGACGCAGGGAGCCGCCAGAACCACCGCCCCCGAGGAGCUGGCGGGACACGUCCCGGCCGAGCCGCUCCUUGUGCCCGGGAAGCGAGGGGACGCGCGGGCUCGGCCGGGUCCUGCGUGCUUCUGCGUGCCCGGGGACCUCGCGCUCGGCGCGCAGCAGGAGGAGAAGCAGAGAGCGGCCGCAGCCUCCAAAGCGGGACCGAGCCAAGCCCGAGCCCGUAUUUUCCCCGGGCGCCGAGCGGGGCCUCGCCGCUGGGCCAGCGCCCGACAUCCUCCCAGGAAACACAAACCGGGAGCUGAGUCAGAGAGCUGGAACACGCGCGGGGUUUGGCAAGGAAUCGCGGCGAGGCGCUCGCAGCCGCGCGCAGACACGGGCCGCCCGCCGCCGCACGUACGCACCUCAGCGGCGCAGGGCGGGCCGGAGACCCCCUCGGUCGGAAAGCAGCGGCGGUGGAGCCCUCCCCGUCCCCCGUCCUCCUGCAGCACGGGGCGAGAGCAAAGAGAAAAAGGCUGAACGCCGGCCUACGGCUGCGUGCUUCCCCCCCAGAUAUCGCUCCAACGUCACGCGGCGGCGGCGCGGCCCUCCUCUCCGCCGUCCCCGCCGCCUCCUGGGGCCGGGGGAAGGCCGGCGGGGGCCCGGCGGGGAGGGAGAGGAGGCAGGGCCCGCCACCGAAGCCACCGAGCCCUCCACCGAAGCCCCGAGCGCCGGCCGGCCUUACCACGUACUCCAUCGGCGGCGGAGGGCAGGGAAGGGAAAGGCAGAGCCCCUCUCGUCUGGCCGUCCCACCUGCGGUUCGGGGACAAACAGCGAGUUAGCCAGCCCGGCCCUGGGCCGCGGGGAGGUGGCCCCGGCUCCUUCGAGUCACCACGUCCCCGGCUGGAAGGGACCCGCGGGGGUCAGGGGGCCGGCUCCUCGCUGGCCGCAGGCGGACGGGGCUGCAACGCUGCCCAGGCGGGGGGCAGGGACCCGCGAGGCGUCCUCAGUCCUCACGGCCCCGUCCCGGGAUAACGGCACCACCGGGAUGCUCCGGGGCGCGAGGCCGAGCUGGGCACGGACCCGGCUCUGUUCAGGCCUCGUCCACCAGGAAAAGGAGUUGGGAGCCGCACGGGGCAGAUCCCAAACCAGAAGAGCCUCGGUUUCGGUGACUCUGUGCCGUGAGAUGAGCGCCGGAGCUGAUCCCCAAGGCCCUGAAGCUGCCGGGUCCCCAAAAAAGCACCAAGAGGGCCACAAGGACAGGCCCCCCCCCGUGCAGAGCAGCGCCCCAAUCCUGCCCACAUCACCCCCAGGGCUGGCACACGAAGCCCCCCAGGGCUGCAGCCCCGGGAGGGAGCGGAACGGGAGCCGGGGUUAGGAAGGAGCAGAAAAAGGAGCCCCGGGGAGCCGGGGGUGGGGGGGGAGCAGGAACGGCCCCGAGAGCCCCCGGUGGGGCGGAGCAGGGCAGCGCUUCCCGGAUUGACUUCCUCGAAGCCAUCGCGCCCUUAUCUAGGGCCGAGGCCGCGAGAUAAGCAGGGCGCAGCCACCCCCGCGGGGCUGCCGGUAACGGCACCGCCUCCCGGGGCCCCUGCGUGCCCCGCGGGGCAGGAACGGGGCUCGGGCAGCGGGGGCGAGAAGCGGCCCCAAAGCCGGCACCGGGAGCACCGGGCCUGGCGGGGAGGCUGCGGCACGGGGGGGACCUCCGGGGAGCCUCCCGGUUCCCCCGCCGUGCCCGUGGGCCCCCAAAAUGCUGUGAGGGGGGCACGGCCGCGGCCGCCCCGGUCCCAGCCCCGGGGGAACGGCGGCGCCUCGCGAGCCACGGGGGGAGCCGGGGUUCACCGGGUGAUCUCCCGCACACGGAACCGAGCGGUUUGAACCCAAAACGGGAAGGCGCCGGGUCACGAAGGCCGCGGGGGGAAGCGUCCACCGGGCCCGCACCGGACCCGCCCCCUGAGCCCCCCCCCAGAGCCCCGGGGCUGAGCCGGGCCGGGGGCACGCCACGGGACACGGGGGGGCCUCGGGGCCCGGGGUCGCCGGUUUGGGGCCCGGAGCGAACCCCCCGCGGGUCCCGGCAGCGCUGCCCGUGCCGGUGACUCCCGGCCUCGGCCUGCCCGCAGCACCGGGAGCCCCGGGACGCCCGGGACACGAGGGGGGGGGGCACGGAGGCGACCGGCGGGGCCGUCCCCAGCCCCUCCCCCGCCGCCGGUAGCACCGGGCGCGUAGCGGCACCGGGACCGGCACCGGGCCCAGCACCGGCCGCACUCCCCGCGGGGCACAGCCCGGUGGCGGGCGGCAGGGGGCGGAGCCCCCCCCUCAGCCACACGGCCCCGCCCGGUGCCUCCGGGGCCUCGCCCGUCCCGGGAGCCCUCCCGCGGCCUGCAACCGGCCACCGGGGAGCCCCCCACGGCCCGGUCCCGCGGGCUGCGCUCAC
Molecule: long non-coding RNA, 2775 nt
Organism: Anas platyrhynchos (mallard)
Lineage: Eukaryota; Metazoa; Chordata; Aves; Anseriformes; Anatidae
Source: RefSeq, a predicted model, not a curated record